This 468-nucleotide ribosomal RNA is filed under the name uncultured bacterium. RNAcentral describes it as "partial 16S ribosomal RNA". It matches the Rfam family "Bacterial small subunit ribosomal RNA", at positions 28 to 507 of the family's 1533-position model. The record is from RNAcentral.
GACGAACGCUGGCGGCGUGCUUAACACACGCAAGUCGAACGGAAAGGCCCUGCUUUUGUGGGGUGCUCGAGUGGCGAACGGGUGAGUAACACGUGAGUAACCUGCCCUUGACUUUGGGAUAACUUCAGGAAACUGGGGCUAAUACCGGAUAGGAGCUCCUGCUGCAUGGGGGGGGUUGGAAAGUUUCGGCGGUUGGGGAUGGACUUGCGGCUUAUCAGCUUGUUGGUGGGGUAGUGGCUUACCAAGGCUUUGACGGGUAGCCGGCCUGAGAGGGUGACCGGCCACAUUGGGACUGAGAUACGGCCCAGACUCCUACGGGAGGCAGCAGUGGGGAAUAUUGCACAAUGGGCGGAAGCCUGAUGCAGCAACGCCGCGUGCGGGAUGACGGCCUUCGGGUUGUAAACCGCUUUCGCCUGUGACGAAGCGUGAGUGACGGUAAUGGGUAAAGAAGCACCGGCUAACUACGUG